This 253-nucleotide ribosomal RNA is filed under the name uncultured bacterium. Its description in RNAcentral is "partial 16S ribosomal RNA". It matches the Rfam family "Bacterial small subunit ribosomal RNA", at positions 524 to 776 of the family's 1533-position model. The record is from RNAcentral.
UACGUAGGGGGCAAGCGUUGUCCGGAAUCAUUGGGCGUAAAGCGCGUGUAGGCGGGCAUGUAAGUCGGGCGUGAAAGCCCCAGGCUCAACCUGGGAACUGCACUCGAAACUGCGUUUCUUGAGUAUCGGAGAGGAAAGCGGAAUACCUGGUGUAGAGGUGAAAUUCGUAGAUAUCAGGUGGAACACCAGUGGCGAAGGCGGCUUUCUGGACGAUUACUGACGCUGAGACGCGAAAGCGUGGGGAGCAAACAGG